GCCUUUCGCUUACACCGAAAAAAUAUCUGUAAAAUCAGAUUAUUUUGA
Molecule: transfer RNA, 48 nt
Filed under: Raorchestes bobingeri
Lineage: Eukaryota; Metazoa; Chordata; Amphibia; Anura; Rhacophoridae
Description: partial tRNA-Val
Source: RNAcentral